This is a long non-coding RNA of Mauremys mutica (yellowpond turtle), 752 nucleotides long. RefSeq lists it as uncharacterized. The transcript has 4 exons. Lineage: Eukaryota; Metazoa; Chordata; Testudines; Geoemydidae. The record is from RefSeq and is a predicted model, not a curated record.
UGGCACUGCUUACUCGGGAAAAUGCUACUCAAUCUGAGUAAAAGUUGCAGAAUCAGAGCCCUUAGGCAUUAGCAGAACAGAGUCAAAAAGGUGGGUAAAACCCACAUAACUUAUUGGCACAGAAGUUGUUUCUGCCCUGGGCUUGCUGUCACUAUCUUUCCAUGCUGGAAAAAUUGUGUGUGUGGGUGCAGUAUACCCGUUUUUACAAGUUUUAUUUUGCUAACAUCUCAUGAGUUCUGGUCUCCCCAGCAAUGAAUCUGAGAUACUUUUGUUCGUGUGUGCUGCAGGGGAAAAGGAUUUAAAGACCCAACAUCAAAAAAAGAGACUGCCUUUCUGUGGUUUGGGAACAGCAGCUUGAUGUGAAAUAAUCUUGAAGAUAAGGUCCAAUGUUUUCUUUUGACGUAGGUUGACAAUGCAACAAGUUGCUGUUGUGGAGGGAGACAAGAAAAGCAGGUGUUGUCUGAACUCACGAGAAGAUGCUUGCUCUGAAGAGUUUACAAUCUACUAACACAUGCAGCCUUUGAAAUGGGGGACAGUGGAACACAACAAAGCAUAACAGAAGAGGUGAGAUGUGGAGGCAAAGUGAGCAGUUGCCAUUUUGGAUCAGUUUGGCCCUUGUGGAUGUUCCAUGCAACGUGGGAGAAUGUGCGAAGACUGGUGUGGGCUUGGCUGGUGGCUUGUCAAAACUGUCAACGUUGACACAUAUAGCCUUGUGGCUAGGACAAGAAAGUAGGAGUCAGAAUUCCUGGGAU